UGGUGGGUAGUUUGACUGGGGCGGUCUCCUCCUAAAGAGUAACGGAGGAGCACGAAGGUUGGCUAAUCCUGGUCGGACAUCAGGAGGUUAGUGCAAUGGCAUAAGCCAGCUUGACUGCGAGCGUGACGGCGCGAGCAGGUGCGAAAGCAGGUCAUAGUGAUCCGGUGGUUCUGAAUGGAAGGGCCAUCGCUCAACGGAUAAAAGGUACUCCGGGGAUAACAGGCUGAUACCGCCCAAGAGUUCAUAUCGACGGCGGUGUUUGGCACCUCGAUGUCGGCUCAUCACAUCCUGGGGCUGAAGUAGGUCCCAAGGGUAUGGCUGUUCGCCAUUUAAAGUGGUACGCGAGCUGGGUUUAGAACGUCGUGAGACAGUUCGGUCCCUAUCUGCCGUGGGCGCUGGAGAACUGAGGGGGGCUGCUCCUAGUACGAGAGGACCGGAGUGGACGCAUCACUGGUGUUCGGGUUGUCAUGCCAAUGGCACUGCCCGGUAGCUAAAUGCGGAAGAGAUAAGUGCUGAAAGCAUCUAAGCACGAAACUUGCCCCGAGAUGAGUUCUCCCUGAGACUUAGAGUCUCCUGAAGGAACGUUGAAGACGACGACGUUGAUAGGCCGGGUGUGUAAGCGCAGCGAUGCGUUGAGCUA
This 640-nucleotide ribosomal RNA is filed under the name Salmonella enterica subsp. enterica. Its description in RNAcentral is "partial 23S ribosomal RNA". It matches the Rfam family "Bacterial large subunit ribosomal RNA", at positions 2259 to 2893 of the family's 2925-position model. Lineage: Bacteria; Pseudomonadati; Pseudomonadota; Gammaproteobacteria; Enterobacterales; Enterobacteriaceae. RNAcentral also lists the same sequence under 2 other names. The record is from RNAcentral.